CACGGGGGGAGCAAGCGUUGUUCGGAAUCACUGGGCGUAAAGGGCGUGUAGGCGGCUCGGUAAGUGGAAUGUGAAAUGCCCCGGCUCACCCGGGGACCUGCAUCCCAAACUGCCGGGCUUGAGUAUGGGAGAGGAUGAGGGAAUUCCUGGUGUAGCGGUGAAAUGCGUAGAUAUCAGGAGGAACACCGGUGGCGAAGGCGCUCAUCUGGCCCAAUACUGACGCUGAGGCGCGAAAGCUAGGGGAGCAAACGGG
RNAcentral lists this ribosomal RNA (253 nucleotides) under uncultured soil bacterium PRR-10. RNAcentral describes it as "partial 16S ribosomal RNA". It matches the Rfam family "Bacterial small subunit ribosomal RNA", at positions 524 to 776 of the family's 1533-position model. The record is from RNAcentral. Lineage: Bacteria; Pseudomonadati; Candidatus Latescibacterota.